This 337-nucleotide unclassified non-coding RNA is filed under the name soil metagenome. Its description in RNAcentral is "partial contains 5.8S ribosomal RNA, internal transcribed spacer 2, and large subunit ribosomal RNA". The stretch from base 1 to 120 matches the Rfam family "5.8S ribosomal RNA", at positions 35 to 154 of the family's 154-position model. The record is from RNAcentral.
GAUGAAGAACGCAGCGAAAUGCGAUAAGUAGCGUGAAUUGCAGAAUUCAGUGAAUCAUCGAAUCUUUGAACGCACAUUGCGCCCCUUGGUAUUCCAUGGGGCAUGCCUGUUCGAGCGUCAUUUGUACCUUCAAGCUCUGCUUGGUGUUGGGUGUUUGUCUCGCCUCUGCGUGUAGACUCGCCUUAAAACAAUUGGCAGCCGGCGUAUUGAUUUCGGAGCGCAGUACAUCUCGCGCUUUGCACUCAUAACGACGACGUCCAAAAGUACAUUUUUACACUCUUGACCUCGGAUCAGGUAGGGAUACCCGCUGAACUUAAGCAUAUCAAUAAGCGGAGGA